GGACCCGUAGUGUAGUCGGUUAACACGCUUCCCUGUCAAGGAAGAGAUCACCGGUUCGAGUCCGGCCGGGUCCGCCG
RNAcentral lists this transfer RNA (77 nucleotides) under Candidatus Roizmanbacteria bacterium RIFCSPHIGHO2_01_FULL_39_12c. Its description in RNAcentral is "tRNA-Asp". It matches the Rfam family "tRNA". Rfam says of the family: Transfer RNA (tRNA) molecules are approximately 80 nucleotides in length. Lineage: Bacteria; Candidatus Roizmaniibacteriota. The record is from RNAcentral.